CGUAGGGAUCUUCCACAAUGGACGAAAGUCUGAUGGAGCAACGCCGCGUGAGUGAAGAAGGUUUUCGGAUCGUAAAACUCUGUUGUUGGAGAAGAAUGUAUCUGAUAGUAACUGAUCAGGUAGUGACGGUAUCCAACCAGAAAGCCACGGCUAACUACGUGCCAGCAGCCGCGGUAAUACGUAGGUGGCAAGCGUUGUCCGGAUUUAUUGGGCGUAAAGCGAGCGCAGGCGGUUUCUUAAGUCUGAUGUGAAAGCCUUCGGCUCAACCGAAGAAGUGCAUCGGAAACUGGGAAACUUGAGUGCAGAAGAGGACAGUGGAACUCCAUGUGUAGCGGUGAAAUGCGUAGAUAUAUGGAAGAACACCAGUGGCGAAGGCGGCUGUCUGGUCUGUAACUGACGCUGAGGCUCGAAAGCAUGGGUAGCAAACAGGAUUAGAUACCCUGGUAGUCCAUGCCGUAAACGAUGAGUGCUAGGUGUUGGAGGGUUUCCGCCCUUCAGUGCCGCAGCUAACGCAUUAAGCACUCCGCCUGGGGAGUACGACCGCAAGGUUGAAACUCAAAGGAAUUGACGGGCC
RNAcentral lists this ribosomal RNA (574 nucleotides) under Lactobacillus sp. Its description in RNAcentral is "bacterial SSU rRNA". It matches the Rfam family "Bacterial small subunit ribosomal RNA", at positions 354 to 919 of the family's 1533-position model. The record is from RNAcentral. Lineage: Bacteria; Bacillati; Bacillota; Bacilli; Lactobacillales; Lactobacillaceae.